RNAcentral lists this ribosomal RNA (426 nucleotides) under uncultured bacterium. RNAcentral describes it as "bacterial SSU rRNA". It matches the Rfam family "Bacterial small subunit ribosomal RNA", at positions 359 to 776 of the family's 1533-position model. The record is from RNAcentral.
GAAUCUUCCGCAAUGGACGAAAGUCUGACGGAGCAACGCCGCGUGAGUGAUGAAGGUUUUCGGAUCGUAAAACUCUGUUGUUAGGGAAGAACAAGUAUCGUUCGAAUAGGGCGGUACCUUGACGGUACCUACCCAGAAAGCCACGGCUAACUCCGUUCCACUAUCCGCGGUAAUACGUAGGUGGCAAGCGUUGUCCGGAAUUAUUGGGCGAAAAGCGCGCGCAGGCGGUCUUUUAAGUCUGAUGUGAAAGCCCCCGGCUCAACCGGGGAGGGUCAUUGGAAACUGGGAGACUCGAGUGCAGAAGAGAAGAGUGGAAUUCCACGUGUAGCGGUGAAAUGCGUAGAGAUGUGGAGGAACACCAGUGGCGAAGGCGACUCUUUGGUCUGUAACUGACGCUGAGGCGCGAAAGCGUGGGGAGCAAACAGG